RNAcentral lists this transfer RNA (74 nucleotides) under Lujinxingiaceae bacterium. Its description in RNAcentral is "tRNA-Arg". It matches the Rfam family "tRNA". From Rfam's summary of the family: Transfer RNA (tRNA) molecules are approximately 80 nucleotides in length. Their secondary structure includes four short double-helical elements and three loops (D, anti-codon, and T loops). Further hydrogen bonds mediate the characteristic L-shaped molecular structure. tRNAs have two regions of fundamental functional importance: the anti-codon, which is responsible for specific mRNA codon recognition, and the 3' end, to which the tRNAs corresponding amino acid is attached (by aminoacyl-tRNA synthetases). tRNAs cope with the degeneracy of the genetic code in two manners: having more than one tRNA (with a specific anti-codon) for a particular amino acid; and 'wobble' base-pairing, i.e. permitting non-standard base-pairing at the 3rd anti-codon position. The record is from RNAcentral. Lineage: Bacteria; Deltaproteobacteria; Bradymonadales; Lujinxingiaceae.
GACUCCGUAGCUCAGCUGGAUAGAGCAUCAGAUUCCUAAUCUGAGGGUCGCGCGUUCGAACCGCGCCGGGGUCA